RNAcentral lists this ribosomal RNA (292 nucleotides) under uncultured bacterium. Its description in RNAcentral is "partial 16S ribosomal RNA". It matches the Rfam family "Bacterial small subunit ribosomal RNA", at positions 505 to 796 of the family's 1533-position model. The record is from RNAcentral.
GUGUCAGCCGCCGCGGUAAUACGUAGGUGGCGAGCGUUGUCCGGAAUCACUGGGCGUAAAGGGCGCGUAGGCGGCUUAGCAAGUCGCAUGUGAAAAACCAGGGCUCAACCCUGGGGGGUCAUGCGAAACUGUUGGGCUUGAGUGCAGUAGAGGUAAGCGGAAUUCCUGGUGUAGCGGUAAAAUGCGUAGAGAUCAGGAGGAACACCGGUGGCGAAGGCGGCUUACUGGGCUGCAACUGACGCUGAGGCGCGAAAGCGUGGGGAGCAAACAGGAUUAGAAACCCCAGUAGUCC